RNAcentral lists this ribosomal RNA (311 nucleotides) under uncultured eukaryote. RNAcentral's name for it is "partial 18S ribosomal RNA". It matches the Rfam family "Eukaryotic small subunit ribosomal RNA", at positions 1470 to 1796 of the family's 1831-position model. The record is from RNAcentral.
CCCUUAGAUGUUCUGGGCCGCACGCGCGCUACACUGAUGCAUUCAACGAGUCUAAAACCUGCUCUGAUAGGGGUGGGUAAUCUUUUGAAUGUGCAUCGUGAUUGGGAUAGAUGAUUGCAAUUUUUCAUCUUCAACGAGGAAUGCCUAGUAAACGCAAGUCAUCAGCUUGCAUUGAUUACGUCCCUGCCCUUUGUACACACCGCCCGUCGCUACUACCGAUUGAAUGGUUUAGUGAGGCCUUCGGAUCCGCGACUCGUUUUGUGGAGAAGUUGAACAAACUCAGUCAUUUAGAGGAAGUAAAAGUCGUAACA